ACUAAGCGUACACGGUGGAUGCCCUGGCAGUCAGAGGCGAUGAAGGACGUGCUAAUCUGCGAUAAGCGUCGGUGAGGUGAUAUGAACCGUUAUAACCGGCGAUUUCCGAAUGGGGAAACCCAGUGUGUUUCGACACACUAUCAUUAACUGAAUCCAUAGGUUAAUGAGGCGAACCGGGGGAACUGAAACAUCUAAGUACCCCGAGGAAAAGAAAUCAACCGAGAUUCCCCCAGUAGCGGCGAGCGAACGGGGAGGAGCCCAGAGCCUGAAUCAGUGUGUGUGUUAGUGGAAGCGUCUGGAAAGGCGCGCGAUACAGGGUGACAGCCCCGUACACAAAAAUGCACAUACUGUGAGCUCGAUGAGUAGGGCGGGACACGUGGUAUCCUGUCUGAAUAUGGGGGGACCAUCCUCCAAGGCUAAAUACUCCUGACUGACCGAUAGUGAACCAGUACCGUGAGGGAAAGGCGAAAAGAACCCCGGCGAGGGGAGUGAAAAAGAACCUGAAACCGUGUACGUACAAGCAGUGGGAGCCUCUUAAUGGGGUGACUGCGUACCUUUUGUAUAAUGGGUCAGCGACUUAUAUUCUGUAGCAAGGUUAACCGAAUAGGGGAGCCGAAGGGAAACCGAGUCUUAACUGGGCGUUAAGUUGCAGGGUAUAGACCCGAAACCCGGUGAUCUAGCCAUGGGCAGGUUGAAGGUUGGGUAACACUAACUGGAGGACCGAACCGACUAAUGUUGAAAAAUUAGCGGAUGACUUGUGGCUGGGGGUGAAAGGCCAAUCAAACCGGGAGAUAGCUGGUUCUCCCCGAAAGCUAUUUAGGUAGCGCCUCGUGAAUUCAUCUCCGGGGGUAGAGCACUGUUUCGGCAAGGGGGUCAUCCCGACUUACCAACCCGAUGCAAACUGCGAAUACCGGAGAAUGUUAUCACGGGAGACACACGGCGGGUGCUAACGUCCGUCGUGAAGAGGGAAACAACCCAGACCGCCAGCUAAGGUCCCAAAGUCAUGGUUAAGUGGGAAACGAUGUGGGAAGGCCCAGACAGCCAGGAUGUUGGCUUAGAAGCAGCCAUCAUUUAAAGAAAGCGUAAUAGCUCACUGGUCGAGUCGGCCUGCGCGGAAGAUGUAACGGGGCUAAACCAUGCACCGAAGCUGCGGCAGCGACACUAUGUGUUGUUGGGUAGGGGAGCGUUCUGUAAGCCUGUGAAGGUGUACUGUGAGGUAUGCUGGAGGUAUCAGAAGUGCGAAUGCUGACAUAAGUAACGAUAAAGCGGGUGAAAAGCCCGCUCGCCGGAAGACCAAGGGUUCCUGUCCAACGUUAAUCGGGGCAGGGUGAGUCGACCCCUAAGGCGAGGCCGAAAGGCGUAGUCGAUGGGAAACAGGUUAAUAUUCCUGUACUUGGUGUUACUGCGAAGGGGGGACGGAGAAGGCUAUGUUGGCCGGGCGACGGUUGUCCCGGUUUAAGCGUGUAGGCUGGUUUUCCAGGCAAAUCCGGAAAAUCAAGGCUGAGGCGUGAUGACGAGGCACUACGGUGCUGAAGCGACAAAUGCCCUGCUUCCAGGAAAAGCCUCUAAGCAUCAGGUAACAUCAAAUCGUACCCCAAACCGACACAGGUGGUCAGGUAGAGAAUACCAAGGCGCUUGAGAGAACUCGGGUGAAGGAACUAGGCAAAAUGGUGCCGUAACUUCGGGAGAAGGCACGCUGAUAUGUAGGUGAAGCGACUUGCUCGUGGAGCUGAAAUCAGUCGAAGAUACCAGCUGGCUGCAACUGUUUAUUAAAAACACAGCACUGUGCAAACACGAAAGUGGACGUAUACGGUGUGACGCCUGCCCGGUGCCGGAAGGUUAAUUGAUGGGGUUAGCGGUAACGCGAAGCUCUUGAUCGAAGCCCCGGUAAACGGCGGCCGUAACUAUAACGGUCCUAAGGUAGCGAAAUUCCUUGUCGGGUAAGUUCCGACCUGCACGAAUGGCGUAAUGAUGGCCAGGCUGUCUCCACCCGAGACUCAGUGAAAUUGAACUCGCUGUGAAGAUGCAGUGUACCCGCGGCAAGACGGAAAGACCCCGUGAACCUUUACUAUAGCUUGACACUGAACAUUGAGCCUUGAUGUGUAGGAUAGGUGGGAGGCUUUGAAGUGUGGACGCCAGUCUGCAUGGAGCCGACCUUGAAAUACCACCCUUUAAUGUUUGAUGUUCUAACGUGGGCCCCUUACCGGGGUUGCGGACAGUGUCUGGUGGGUAGUUUGACUGGGGCGGUCUCCUCCUAAAGAGUAACGGAGGAGCACGAAGGUUGGCUAAUCCUGGUCGGACAUCAGGAGGUUAGUGCAAUGGCAUAAGCCAGCUUGACUGCGAGCGUGACGGCGCGAGCAGGUGCGAAAGCAGGUCAUAGUGAUCCGGUGGUUCUGAAUGGAAGGGCCAUCGCUCAACGGAUAAAAGGUACUCCGGGGAUAACAGGCUGAUACCGCCCAAGAGUUCAUAUCGACGGCGGUGUUUGGCACCUCGAUGUCGGCUCAUCACAUCCUGGGGCUGAAGUAGGUCCCAAGGGUAUGGCUGUUCGCCAUUUAAAGUGGUACGCGAGCUGGGUUUAGAACGUCGUGAGACAGUUCGGUCCCUAUCUGCCGUGGGCGCUGGAGAACUGAGGGGGGCUGCUCCUAGUACGAGAGGACCGGAGUGGACGCAUCACUGGUGUUCGGGUUGUCAUGCCAAUGGCACUGCCCGGUAGCUAAAUGCGGAAGAGAUAAGUGCUGAAAGCAUCUAAGCACGAAACUUGCCCCGAGAUGAGUUCUCCCUGACUCCUUGAGAGUCCUGAAGGAACGUUGAAGACGACGACGUUGAUAGGCCGGGUGUGUAAGCGCAGCGAUGCGUUGAGCUAACCGGUACUAAUGAACCGUGAGGCUUAACC
RNAcentral lists this ribosomal RNA (2893 nucleotides) under Escherichia coli. RNAcentral's name for it is "bacterial LSU rRNA". It matches the Rfam family "Bacterial large subunit ribosomal RNA". Lineage: Bacteria; Pseudomonadati; Pseudomonadota; Gammaproteobacteria; Enterobacterales; Enterobacteriaceae. The record is from RNAcentral. RNAcentral also lists the same sequence under 1 other name.